This 84-nucleotide transfer RNA is filed under the name Gemmatimonadota bacterium. Its description in RNAcentral is "Gemmatimonadetes bacterium tRNA-Ser". It matches the Rfam family "tRNA". From Rfam's summary of the family: Transfer RNA (tRNA) molecules are approximately 80 nucleotides in length. Their secondary structure includes four short double-helical elements and three loops (D, anti-codon, and T loops). RNAcentral also lists the same sequence under 3 other names. The record is from RNAcentral. Lineage: Bacteria; Pseudomonadati; Gemmatimonadota.
GGAGGGGUGGCAGAGCGGCUAAAUGCACCGGUCUUGAAAACCGGCGGGCGCAAGCCCACGUGGGUUCAAAUCCCACCCCCUCCG